GUGUUUGCUUUAGUGGCACAAACACAAAAAAUUGGAACAAUACAGAGAUUGACAUGAGCCUUGCAUAAAGAUGAUAAUCAAAUUUGUGAAUAGUUUUUUUUU
Molecule: small nuclear RNA, 102 nt
Organism: Pogona vitticeps (central bearded dragon)
Lineage: Eukaryota; Metazoa; Chordata; Lepidosauria; Squamata; Agamidae
Source: Ensembl